Molecule: ribosomal RNA, 495 nt
Filed under: uncultured bacterium
Lineage: Bacteria
Description: partial 16S ribosomal RNA
Rfam family: Bacterial small subunit ribosomal RNA
Source: RNAcentral
GAUGAACGCUGGCGGCGUGCCUAAUACAUGCAAGUCGAACGCUGAAGGAGGAGCUUGCUCUUCUGGAUGAGUUGCGAACGGGUGAGUAACGCGUAGGUAACCUGCCUGGUAGCGGGGGAUAACUAUUGGAAACGAUAGCUAAUACCGCAUGACAACAGUUAUUGCAUGAUAACUGUUUAAAAGGGGCAACUGCUCCACUACCAGAUGGACCUGCGUUGUAUUAGCUAGUUGGUGAGGUAACGGCUCACCAAGGCGACGAUACAUAGCCGACCGGAGAGGGGGAUCGGCCACACUGGGACGGAGACACGGCCCAGACGCCUACGGGAGGCAGCAGUAGGGAAUCUUCGGCAAUGGACGGAAGUCUGACCGAGCAACGCCGCGUGAGGGAAGAAGGUUGUCGGAUCGGAAAGCUCUGUUGCAAGAGAAGAACGAGUGUGAGAGUGGAAAGUUCACACUGUGACGGUAUCUUACCAGAAAGGGACGGCUAACUACGUG